AACGCCAAACUUUUGCACGCGUUUGGUUUUUUGAAUGAAAGUCAAUGGGACGAAAAGUGGUAUCGACUGGGAGAAUCUCCUCUCCACCGCACGAUACACGAUGAUUAUAGAGAAGAGAAAGAAAUACGCCCGAAUCAACGCUGUAAACGAGCGAUUAAGCGAUGCGGCUACUACCAUGAGAACACAAAGCCAUGAGUGUCUAUAAGAGGCUACAACUCACGGAUUCGUGGAUUUGAUGGAAAAAGAAGAGUCAGCCGCUCCUGUCUUGUGCUGUUUGAACUCUCAAUCUGGCGGCACCCAUUCACUGCAGAGGAUCCAUUGGAGGGCAAGUGAUAUAAUGCUAAAUUUCUACAAAUCUGUUGUGUUGAAGAGACAAGCUCAUCUACAAUCUGGACAGCUUGCAAGAGUGCGGAAGAAUAUGGCCUGAUAUGGAUCACCUCAGAUUUAAUAUCUGUGGCGAUUGUCAUCGGCAUCUUCAUUUUUCAGAAGUGGAAGAUGAGUGGUAUGCGCAGCUACAACCCUGAGCAGAUCAUGCUAAGCGCUGUAGUACGUCGGCCGAGUCGUGACGUCAACCUCAUGAAGGAGAAACUGAUCUUCUCAGAGAUCAACAAUGGUGUUGGGAGCACAGAUGAGCUCUCCGCAUACACAGGAAACGGACUGGGCGCGUAUGCACGCGAUGACAUCAUGACACCCGCACGUCACGCAAUGAAACUUUAGUGACGACUUGAAUCCAUUUUAUGGAGCUCAAAAUAAUUAAUUUAGACUGAGUUGCUUUUUGAACAUUCAUCUCCAAUGGGUCUUUAUUUUGGACAGUUUUCGUUGGUUCUCGGACACUCUGGCACUGUAUUCCACUGAUUCAGUGUUCUGCUUUGAUGCCUUACAUACUGAUGUUUUUUUUUUUCUGUAUUGAACCGUAUUUAAAAUGGAGCUGAGUUAUUGUAAAGUUUAGGUAAUAAAAGUGUCCUAUUAUUAAUGUUUCUGAAGAACAGAUCUGAAGAUGAAUGGAUUUAAUGUUAAAGCAUGCAGAAAUCAGAUUCAGAGAUUCAGAGCCCUUGUAAAGCUUGACUGUAGGCUUAUAUGAUUGAUUUUUUUUUUUUCUAUUUAUUUUAUUUUUUUUUGUAAAAUAUCAUUUGCUUGCUGAUGAUUCGUAUAUAAUUGCACUAGCCUAAGAUCAGUUUUCUUCUACCUUGCUAUGUCGAUGUCUUUUUAAGUGAUUUGUUUUGUAAUAAAAUCUCUGAAUUGCA
Labeo rohita (rohu) is the source of this 1244-nucleotide RNA transcript. It is a transcript of the gene named glycerophosphodiester phosphodiesterase domain-containing protein 5-like, with no coding region annotated. The transcript has 5 exons. The record is from RefSeq and is a predicted model, not a curated record. Lineage: Eukaryota; Metazoa; Chordata; Actinopteri; Cypriniformes; Cyprinidae.